UUUUAUAAAUUAAAUAUUAGUUAUGACUAAUCGUUUCCUUAACUUCCCUUUGAUCUAAACUACUUAAUAUUAAACCUUGCCUUCCAUUUACUGUUAUGGGAAAAUUCUAAUUUAGACGUUUGUUGCUAACAUCAUAUAACAGCUCGAUUCCACUGCCACCAUAGCUUAUUGGAAACUCUGCUUCUGUUUUUGGCUUGAUAACAUUUUAUUGAUUUCCUGACAAAUAUUCUAUCUGUGUAUCAUUCUUUUGAUCUAUUGUAAAUGGGCCGAUGUUGGGCUAUGGAGAGUUAUGCUUGAGUACUUUUGAUAAUCUUGUAACAUUUGUUUAAAUGCAGGUUUGUACUGACUGAUGCUUUGAAGUACUGAAAUUAUUUCUGCUCGCGCACUGUGAAAUAAUAUGGUAAAUUGAAUUUGGAAAGAGAUGCGUAUGUUAAUUGCUUAUAUGUGCACUCUCCAAGUCGCUUUGUUGUCUUUGUUUACUUCCCUGACUUUUUCACCUUGAACUAUUUUAGAUUUUUCUACUUAUGAACUGAUGUUUGCUGGUAUAGCAGCAACUUUGCUUUGCACUUUAAAGAUUUGCAGUGGCUAUAUAUGCAUCUAAUAGUUAUAUUUAUGUGUUCUAAUGUUAAUUUUGGUAGUUCUAGAAUGAGAUUGCCUUUUAAUAUGAGGCUUAUGCACUGAACAUGGGCCCUUGUCUUCAUUGAUUAAACAGCUGUACAAUAAUAUAGCAUCAGGUCAUUCGCCUAUGCUAAACCUUGAAUAUUUGGUUGUUGUGGACCAUCUGGUGACAAAACUAGCUUUGGCUGGUUUACUAGUGGUUACAACUUCAGUUCGCUUCCUAAAGUUAUUUCAUUGUGGAAUCCAAAAUAUCAAUUCAUUAUCAUCAAAUGUUUUAAUUGUUGUGUGGGAGAUUCUAAGCUAGUAGAAGUUCAAAACUUAAUGCUCUUUCUGAGCAAUAUUUCGUUUCUCGUGUGAUACCAAUGCUUUGGUGCUGGGUGUGAAAACUGGAUGCAGGAUCCUAAUGGUUUCAUUGAUGAGAAGGCUGAAAGUAGACUUUAUAUUGGCAACCUUGACUUGAGAAUAACAGAGGCUGCUCUGCUCAAGAUGUUUUCUCCAUAUGGCAAGAUUGUAUCUGAGGACUUCUUAUGGCAUACCCGUGGACCAAAACGUGGGGAGCCACGGGGCUUUGCUUUUAUCCAGUUUAGCACCAAAGAGUGAGCAUGCAGGAAGCUAAAUUGGCCAAGGAGAAAAUGCAUGGGAGAUUAGCUUGUGGCCGCCCUUUGGUUGUUCACCUUGCCAGUGAGAAAUACUUGGAGGAAGCAGCGCAGGAUUCUUCGAAAACAGUAGGUGAGAUGACCAAAAGAGGCAUUGCUGGUGGCACUUCGGGACAGAUGAGUCGGAGUGUUAAGAUAGCUGCGAUAAAGACCAAAUUGAAAACCCUGGAAGAGGAGAGCUCUAGUGUGAAGAAGCAGAAGCAAUCUGACAUCAUUUCUUGUAACAAUGUUGUUGAUCAUUCAUCUGGCAAAAGAUGAUGAAUAAUAAUGCUGAAGAGAAUAUGAACAUUGGAAGUAAUUUCAGAAUCUGUGUAGGAUUGAGCAUCACUGUACCAAAUUUCAGGUUAUUGCUGUUGAUACAAUGAUAUGUUAACCUGCACAAGAAUUCUUUGGCCUGACUUUCCAUGUCCUGAAAUUUGUGGCUUAUGGAAAUGGCAUGUUAACAACAGCCUUGGAUGGUGAAAAUGAAAAUCAGUGGUUUGGAAUUUUUCAUGAAAUGCUGUUAUUAAUGGCAUGACUCGUGGAUGUUUUCUGGUUUAUGAUUUUUU
This 1822-nucleotide unclassified non-coding RNA is filed under the name Hevea brasiliensis (rubber tree). Lineage: Eukaryota; Viridiplantae; Streptophyta; Magnoliopsida; Malpighiales; Euphorbiaceae. The record is from RNAcentral.